AGCCCGCACUUGAUUAGUUUGUUGGUGGGGUAAUGGCCUACCAAGACUGUGAUCAAUAGCUGAUUUGAGAGGAUGAUCAGCCACAUUGGGACUGAGACACGGCCCAAACUCCUACGGGAGGCAGCAGUGGGGAAUCUUGCACAAUGGAGGAAACUCUGAUGCAGCGAUGCCGCGUGAGUGAAGAAGGCCCUUGGGUUGUAAAGCUCUUUCGUCGGGGAAGAAAAUGACUGUACCCGAAUAAGAAGGUCCGGCUAACUUCGUGCCAGCAGCCGCGGUAAUACGAAGGGACCUAGCGUAGUUCGGAAUUACUGGGCUUAAAGAGUUCGUAGGUGGUUGAAAAAGUUAGUGGUGAAAUCCCAGAGCUUAACUCUGGAACUGCCAUUAAAACUUUUCAGCUAGAGUAUGAUAGAGGAAAGCAGAAUUUCUAGUGUAGAGGUGAAAUUCGUAGAUAUUAGAAAGAAUACCAAUUGCGAAGGCAGCUUUCUGGAUCAUUACUGACACUGAGGAACGAAAGCAUGGGUAGCGAAGAGGAUUAGAUACCCUCGUAGUCCAUGCCGUAAACGAUGUGUGUUAGACGUUGGAAAUUUAUUUUCAGUGUCGCAGCGAAAGCGAUAAACACACCGCCUGGGGAGUACGACCGCAAGGUUAAAACUCAAAUGAAUUGACGGGGACCCGCACAAGUAGUGGAGCAUGUGGUUUAAUUCGAAGAUACGCGCAGAACCUUACCAACACUUGACAUGUUCGUCGCGACUCUAAGAGAUUAGAGUUUUCGGUUCGGCCGGACGAAACACAGGUGCUGCAUGGCUGUCGUCAGCUCGUGUCGUGAGAUGUUGGGUUAAGUCCCGCAACGAGCGCAACCCUCACUUUUAGUUGCCAUCAUUAAGUUGGGCACUCUGAAAGAACUGCCAGUGAUAAGCUGGGAGGAAGGUGGGGAUGACGUCAAGUCCUCAUGGCCCUUACGUGUUGGGCUACACACGUGCUACAAUGGUAUCUACAACAGGAAGCAAGACUGCGAGGUCAAGCAAAUCCUUAAAAGAUACCUCAGUUCGGAUUGCACUCUGCAACUCGAGUGCAUGAAGCUGGAAUUACUAGUAAUCGUGGAUCAGCGUGCCACGGUGAAUGCGUUCCCGGGUCUUGUACACACCGCCCGUCACACCAUGGGAGUUGGUUCUACCUUAAGGCAAGGUUUCAAACCCUUGACCACGGUAUAGUCAGCGACUGGGGUGAAGUCGUAACAAGGUAGCCGUA
This 1248-nucleotide ribosomal RNA is filed under the name marine metagenome. RNAcentral's name for it is "bacterial SSU rRNA". It matches the Rfam family "Bacterial small subunit ribosomal RNA", at positions 228 to 1504 of the family's 1533-position model. The record is from RNAcentral.